This 497-nucleotide ribosomal RNA is filed under the name uncultured bacterium. RNAcentral's name for it is "partial 16S ribosomal RNA". It matches the Rfam family "Bacterial small subunit ribosomal RNA", at positions 28 to 507 of the family's 1533-position model. The record is from RNAcentral.
GACGAACGCUGGCGGCGUGCCUAAUACAUGCCAGUAGAACGCUGAAGAGAGGAGCUUGCUCUUCUUGGAUGAGUUGCGAACGGGUGAGUAACGCGUAGGUAACCUGCCUUGUAGCGGGGGAUAACUAUUGGAAACGAUAGCUAAUACCGCAUAACAAUGGAUGACACAUGUCAUUUAUUUGAAAGGGGCAAUUGCUCCACUACAAGAUGGACCUGCGUUGUAUUAGCUAGUAGGUGAGGUAAUGGCUCACCUAGGCGACGAUACAUAGCCGACCUGAGAGGGUGAUCGGCCACACUGGGACUGAGACACGGCCCAGACUCCUACGGGAGGCAGCAGUAGGGAAUCUUCGGCAAUGGGGGCAACCCUGACCGAGCAACGCCGCGUGAGUGAAGAAGGGUUUCGGAUCGUAAAGCUCUGUUGUAAGUCAAGAACGGGUGUGAGAGUGGAAAGUUCACACUAUGACGGUAGCUUACCAGAAAGGGACGGCUAACUACGUG